RNAcentral lists this ribosomal RNA (508 nucleotides) under uncultured bacterium. RNAcentral describes it as "partial 16S ribosomal RNA". It matches the Rfam family "Bacterial small subunit ribosomal RNA", at positions 28 to 507 of the family's 1533-position model. The record is from RNAcentral.
GACGAACGCUGGCGGCGUGCCUAAUACAUGCAAGUCGAACGCUUCUUUCCUCCCGAGUGCUUGCACUCAAUUGGAAAGAGGAGUGGCGGACGGGUGAGUAACACGUGGGUAACCUACCCAUCAGAGGGGGAUAACACUUGGAAACAGGUGCUAAUACCGCAUAACAGUUUAUGCCGCAUGGCAUAAGAGUGAAAGGCGCUUUCGGGCGUCGCUGAUGGAUGGACCCGCGGUGCAUUAGCUAGUUGGUGAGGUAACGGCUCACCAAGGCCACGAUGCAUAGCCGACCUGAGGGGGUGAUCGGCCACACUGGGACUGAGACACGGCCCAGACUCCUAGGGGAGGCAGCAGUAGGGAAUCUUCGGCAAUGGACGAAAGUCUGACCGAGCAACGCCGCGUGAGUGAAGAAGGUUUUCGGAUCGUAAAACUCUGUUGUUAGAGAAGAACAAGGACGUUAGUAACUGAACGUCCCCUGACGGUAUCUAACCAGAAAGCCACGGCUAACUACGUG